AUUCGAUUCAACCUGGUUGAUCCUGCCAGUAGUCAUAUGCUCGUCUCAAAGAUUAAGCCAUGCAUGUGUAAGUAUAAGCGAUUGUACUGUGAGACUGCGAACGGCUCAUUAUAUCAGUAAUAAUUUCUUCGGUAGUUUCUUUUAUAUGGAUACCUGCAGUAAUUCUGGAAAUAAUACAUGCUGUAAGAGCCCUGUAUGGGGCUGCACUUAUUAGAUUGAAGCCGAUUUUAUUGGUGAAUCAUGAUAAUUGAGCAGAUUGACUUUUUUAGUCGAUGAAUCGUUUGAGUUUCUGCCCCAUCAGUUGUCGACGGUAGUGUAUUGGACUACGGUGACUAUAACGGGUGACGGAGAGUUAGGGCUCGACUCCGGAGAGGGAGCCUGAGAGACGGCUACCAUAUCCAAGGAUAGCAGCAGGCGCGUAAAUUACCCACUGUGGACUCCACGAGGUAGUGACGAGAAAUAUCAAUGCGAAGCGUGUAUGCGUUUUGCUAUCGGAAUGAGAGCAAUGUAAAACCCUCAUCGAGGAUCAACUGGAGGGCAAGUCUGGUGCCAGCAGCCGCGGUAAUUCCAGCUCCAGAAGCAUAUGCUAAAGUUGUUGCAGUUAAAAAGCUCGUAGUUGAAUUUCUGGCAUGGGCGACCGGUGCUUUCCCUGAAUGGGGAUUGAUUGUCUGCGUUGCCUUGGCCAUCUUUUUCUUUUCUUUAUAGGGGAGAAAUCUUUCACUGUAAUCAAAGCAGAGUGUUCCAAGCAGGUCGUAUGACCGGUAUGUUUAUUAUGGGAUGAUAAGAUAGGACUUGGGUGCUAUUUUGUUG
Molecule: ribosomal RNA, 810 nt
Filed under: Aurantiochytrium sp.
Lineage: Eukaryota; Bigyra; Thraustochytrida; Thraustochytriidae
Description: SSU rRNA
Rfam family: Eukaryotic small subunit ribosomal RNA
Source: RNAcentral